AAAAGUCUCUAGCCUUUCAAACUCUGACUUUCCACCCACCUUCCAAUAUCUUUUUUUUCUUACUUCUCUUUUUUCUCCUCAUUUCUUUCUUCGUGCAGGCGGAGAACGCU
This 110-nucleotide non-coding RNA is filed under the name uncultured eukaryote. The record is from RNAcentral.